RNAcentral lists this long non-coding RNA (1114 nucleotides) under Mus musculus (house mouse). RNAcentral describes it as "long non-coding RNA chr11:20550621-20551735". The record is from RNAcentral. Lineage: Eukaryota; Metazoa; Chordata; Mammalia; Rodentia; Muridae.
AAACAGCAGCUUGAUUCAUUCCCUGCUUUUGAAUUUUUUUAGGAUGAUUUGUGUGAUAGUGUGAGUAAGCCUUUAACACUGAAUGCUUACUUUUAAUAUAUCAAAUAAUCAAAAUAUCCCACCUUUUAAGUAUGGUUUCCCACAAGUCUUUGUUGAAAAGUUGUUUUCAAUUUUCUUACUAUUUCUGAAUGAUUACACUCAUUUGUGUGUGUGUGCAUGUGUGUGCGUGUACAUACAUGUGCAUGUGUGCAUAUGCAUGUGCUUGUGACAUCUUUCUGAGUUUUUUUCUUGACCAUAUUAAUUUUUCCUUCAGCGCUCUGUGCGUUUGCCGAUGUAGACCAUGUAGAGAUAAAGCUUUCUCUUAUUUUAGACUGCUAUAUUGGACCAAUGGAGAAGCCUUUUCUAUAGAAAGAUUUUCUUUGUUUUAUAGAAAGAUAAGCAUUGAUCAUCUCACCUGCAGUUUACCUAAAGUUUAAAGACCACACUGUAAACCUAAGACAUGGCUCAAAGUACUCGAGAGAGACGGCAACAGAAAAAAUAUUAACAUCUUUAUUAUUUACUGAAUAUUUUUGGGGGGUGUGUGUGUGGUACAGCCUUUUUUUUCCCCCUCUGUUGAUGUCACUGUAAAGUGUCUCAGACAUGGACUUUGUUUUGCUCCAUGCCAAGUGAUUGCUGAAUUUAUAAGGAGCUUUCUUUUCUAAGUGGUGACUGUCCCAACCACAUUGAGGGCGACUUUCCUGAGAAAGUCACAGCACGGGAAGCAACAGCUCCUUUUGUUUUGUUUUUAAACUCUUGAAAUGGUGUUGGGACAUCAGACCUCAGCCACAGUGAAGUUUUCCAGACUCACGUUGUUGCAUGAUUAAUGUCCCUGUUGAAGUCAUAUCGGCAUUACUGUCUUCAUUGGCUUUAAUUCAAAUGAAAUGUCCCCUUUGGGUUAACUGUUGUUUGGAUUUUUUUUACCUAGAAAAAUCAGAACAUAAAAGUGAAUGCUUUUUUCUUUCUUUGUGAUGCUGAAAACCAGCCCAUAAGCAUAAACAGCAGAUGCCCUACCACCGAGCUAUACCUCCAGACCCAAAUAUGUAUUUCAAAGUACUAUGUCCAUAAAAAUCUUGUG